This 429-nucleotide ribosomal RNA is filed under the name Bacteroidota bacterium. Its description in RNAcentral is "Bacteroidetes bacterium partial 16S ribosomal RNA". It matches the Rfam family "Bacterial small subunit ribosomal RNA", at positions 355 to 776 of the family's 1533-position model. The record is from RNAcentral. Lineage: Bacteria; Pseudomonadati; Bacteroidota.
UAGGGAAUCUUCCGCAAUGGGCGAAAGCCUGACGGAGCAACGCCGCGUGAGUGAUGAAGGUCUUCGGAUCGUAAAACUCUGUUAUUAGGGAAGAAUAAAUGUGUAAGUAACUAUGCACGUCUUGACGGUACCUAAUCAGAAAGCCACGGCUAACUACGUGCCAGCAGCCGCGGUAAUACGUAGGGCGCAAGCGUUAUCCGGAAUUAUUGGGCGUAAAGAGCUUGUAGGCGGUUCGUCGCGUCUGGUGUGAAAGCCCAUCGCUUAACGGUGGGUUUGCGCCGGGUACGGGCGGGCUAGAGUGCAGUAGGGGAGACUGGAAUUCUCGGUGUAACGGUGGAAUGUGUAGAUAUCGGGAAGAACACCAAUGGCGAAGGCAGGUCUCUGGGCUGUUACUGACGCUGAGAAGCGAAAGCGUGGGGAGCGAACAGG